This is a long non-coding RNA of Lotus japonicus, 2145 nucleotides long. RefSeq lists it as uncharacterized. The record is from RefSeq and is a predicted model, not a curated record. NCBI's taxonomy places the organism in Eukaryota, Viridiplantae, Streptophyta, Magnoliopsida, Fabales, Fabaceae. The transcript has 8 exons.
UACAUAAAAGUAAUACUCUCUCUUCACUCUUUCUAUUCAACCGAAUUAAAUGAAAUAUAUUUCAAAUCAUUUUUUAUCUUCUCUUACUCUUUUAUCUCUAUCGUACCAAACAUCCUAUAAAAUUUACUCUAUCUCUCACCUCAUUAUCUCUACUCAUCUUCUCGCCUAAAAUCCCUACCUGUGCGUUUCUAUCUUGGAGCCGUUCUCUUGACUUUUGCUCUUCCUUGGCGUUACUCUCAAUGUCGUUUCACAGUCCUAGGGUAGAAAAUAAAGUUCGUCGAGCUUUCCCUUAUGUUGCAGCAGCCGUUUAAUCAGAGGCAGAUACAUGGAAUUUCUGAAUCAUAGAAGAUCCCGAGCCAAAUCACCGAGAAAUGAAAUCCAUGGGAUUCCUUCCUAUCUCAACCCUAGCGGACAUUGUGGUUGGUUUUUCAUCUGUGUUGGUUAUUCAAUUUCAGAUUAAGAAGUCAAAGACCUCUGAAACUGAAAUGAAGUUGGGGUUUUCAAAGAACCAGAUGAUUCUAUCCUGAGACAAAGAAUGACUUCAGCCACCAGCUUAGUAAACAAUUUAAUUAAUUGUGAGGUGCAAAUCAGAACUGGCGUGAAUAAGAUUCUUACAUGCUGGAUUAUGAGGUUUAUCGUGAAAUGCUUGAAUUAGUGUGGCAGCCUCUCAUGUAAAAACUUUUACAGAACUACAUACUAAUAGAGUUGGGCAGCCGCAGCUUGGACAUGGAUCCUAUCUACAUACAGUAUGGACAAACACCAAAUGGGAAGUCAUUUUAGGGUCCAAAACCAGAAGUUUAAAAUUAGUAAGCGCUAUCGAAUUGUCAAAAGGGAAUAUGCAGUGCCCCAAGUAACACUUUCAGCCAUCAGAUAAAAAGCUCUCAUUGCUGCUUUUCAAGUUUUGAUGUCUGAUCUUUCUUUGUGAGUUUUCUUGGGAAUGUGUACUUUCUUCUUACUAGAUACAUUCAGAUGGAGAAAACCAUUGCUUUCAAGAGUGCACCUUUUUUCCUUCAUGAGCCUGUUGCUGAGUCCCUUGCAUGUGGUGGCUGCUUCAAGCCGUGAAGAUUGCUAAUCAGAAUAGUUGCUCUAGAGGAUGACUUAUUCUUUCAAAAUGAAAGCCAAAUAUUUAAGUUCAAAAAACAAAAUGUCCUCCCUCUAACUAUUCAAACAGGUGAAGACUUUGAGGGGUGUUCAUCUUCCAACUUUUGCACAAUUUUAUUCUGCUGCAGUAUAUUACACAUUUACACUUAUAUUGGUCUUUUGAUUCUACUCUAUGAAUAUCAACAUAAGGUAUAUCGCUUAUACUGGAGGGCUCUUCUACCUCUGUGAAACGAACUUAUCUUUCAGCUGAACUUUAUUUUGUGACUUUUUAAUUUCUGAGGUAGGAGAAGGAACUCAUUUCGUUAGAUUUCUUUUGUGCGGUGAGGAGGAGGAACAUGGCGGUGGUUAUGAUCAUCUUAAAAUGGAACAUAGUGCAUUUGGUCAUUUGGAGGUGGUGGUGCUGAUGCUAAUUUUCCUGUGACACCAAACAUGGUUUCUGAUUUUGCAACACCAUCUUAUGGUGGUGACAGUUUUUCUCUCAAGAGAAGGAGGGAAGAUGGUGGUUUCUCAUGCAGAGUUUCAUCCCCUGUUAUCCCCCCAAGUUUUUGGGUUUGAAAUGAGGGAAAAUUCCUUUGAGGGCCAUACCCAGAGUUUCUGAAAGGAUUAAGAAAAUGUGCAUGGAACAGACGGAAGCAUAUGUGAAGCGUAGCCACUCAUGCAAAAAGUCCAGAAUGAGAUUCACACUCCUUCUCAGAAUGGAAGAUGACACAGCAAAAGAGAGAACUGUAGAAAGUAGAGUUUAGCCUGCAUGUUUGAUGUUUGGUUUGAGUUGUCACCUUGAAGUUAUUUCUAAGUGAUCUCACAAUAGCAUUCAGGAUAGAAAUUUUAGACAUAGAAAGUGGUUCCCCAUUAUCACCAAUCUCAUUUUCAUCAGGAACUUCAUUUAACUAUUUCAUUGGCUGCUUCGGUACCAAGAGAGUCAAGACAUCUUUCUUUGAGCACAAUAGAAUUUUGUAGUUCAGGAACUGUAUUUUCACUACCAUUUUGUAAAAUUUCCAUAGAACCAUACUUACCAUUAAGAUAACUUGAUUCUUUUCCAACCAA